Molecule: ribosomal RNA, 253 nt
Filed under: uncultured bacterium
Lineage: Bacteria
Description: partial 16S ribosomal RNA
Rfam family: Bacterial small subunit ribosomal RNA
Source: RNAcentral
UACGUAGGGUGCAAGCGUUGUCCGGAAUUACUGGGCGUAAAGAGCUCGUAGGUGGUUUGUCGCGUUGUUCGUGAAAACUCACAGCUUAACUGGGGGCGUGCGGGCGAUACGGGCAGACUGGAGUACUGCAGGGGAGACUGGAAUUCCUGGUGUAGCGGUGGAAUGCGCAGAUAUCAGGAGGAACACCGGUGGCGAAGGCGGGUCUCUGGGCAGUAACUGACGCUGAGGAGCGAAAGCGUGGGGAGCGAACAGG